GCCUAGUUAGCUAGGUUGGUAGAGCGUUAGACUUUCAAUUUAACGGUCGGGGUUCGAGUCCCCUAUGGGGCU
Molecule: transfer RNA, 72 nt
Filed under: Angiostrongylus costaricensis
Lineage: Eukaryota; Metazoa; Nematoda; Chromadorea; Rhabditida; Metastrongylidae
Rfam family: tRNA
About the family: Transfer RNA (tRNA) molecules are approximately 80 nucleotides in length.
Source: Rfam by way of RNAcentral